Molecule: ribosomal RNA, 468 nt
Filed under: uncultured bacterium
Lineage: Bacteria
Description: partial 16S ribosomal RNA
Rfam family: Bacterial small subunit ribosomal RNA
Source: RNAcentral
GACGAACGCUGGCGGCGUGCUUAACACAUGCAAGUCGAACGGAAAGGCCCUGCUUUUGUGGGGUGCUCGAGUGGCGAACGGGUGAGUAACACGUGAGUAACCUGCCCUUGACUUUGGGAUAACUUCAGGAAACUGGGGCUAAUACCGGAUAGGAGCUCCUGCUGCAUGGUGGGGGUUGGAAAGUUUCGGCGGUUGGGGAUGGACUCGCGGCUUAUCAGCUUGUUGGUGGGGUAGUGGCUUACCAAGGCUUUGACGGGUAGCCGGCCUGGGAGGGUGACCGGCCACAUUGGGACUGCGAUACGGCCCAGAGUCCUACGGGAGGCAGCAGUGGGGAAUAUUGCACAAUGGGCGGAAGCCUGAUGCAGCAACGCCGCGUGCGGGAUGACGGCCUUCGGGUUGUAAACCGCUUUCGCCUGUGACGAAGCGUGAGUGACGGUAAUGGGUAAAGAAGCACCGGCUAACUACGUG